This 30-nucleotide non-coding RNA is filed under the name Mus musculus (house mouse). Lineage: Eukaryota; Metazoa; Chordata; Mammalia; Rodentia; Muridae. The record is from RNAcentral.
UCCUUUUUCAGUUGCUCUUGAUCAUGGGAC